Molecule: regulatory RNA element, 160 nt
Organism: Vibrio sp. qd031
Lineage: Bacteria; Pseudomonadati; Pseudomonadota; Gammaproteobacteria; Vibrionales; Vibrionaceae
Rfam family: DABA-DC-AT RNA
Source: Rfam
GCAAUCUUGGCCUGUAGCCAAAAGUGACGCGCAAGCGCAUCCCGCUGAUGAUGUCUUGCGUAUAGUAGGUACUAAAUAGAGUCGCUAUUUAGUAGAUGGGAUAGUAAAUGUCAUGGACACUCACUUUAGUGAGGCUGACAUCACUCAAAGGCACCCAACA